CACGUAGGGCGCAAGCGUUGUCCGGAAUUAUUGGGCGUAAAGAGCUCGUAGGCGGUGUGUCGCGUCGGCCGUGAAAACCUGCAGCUUAACUGUGGGCGUGCGGUCGAUACGGGCAUCACUGGAGUUCGGCAGGGGAGACUGGAAUUCCUGGUGUAGCGGUGAAAUGCGCAGAUAUCAGGAGGAACACCGGUGGCGAAGGCGGGUCUCUGGGCCGAUACUGACGCUGAGGAGCGAAAGCUAGGGGAGCAAACAGG
RNAcentral lists this ribosomal RNA (254 nucleotides) under uncultured bacterium. RNAcentral describes it as "partial 16S ribosomal RNA". It matches the Rfam family "Bacterial small subunit ribosomal RNA", at positions 524 to 776 of the family's 1533-position model. The record is from RNAcentral.